GCUCCGGCUCGACUCUCCCA
Molecule: ribosomal RNA, 20 nt
Filed under: Neofusicoccum australe
Lineage: Eukaryota; Fungi; Ascomycota; Dothideomycetes; Botryosphaeriales; Botryosphaeriaceae
Description: partial 18S ribosomal RNA
Source: RNAcentral